AUUUAUUCACAAAUUUAGUGUAUCAAUAAUGAUCCUUCCGCAGGGUUCACCUACGGAAG
This 59-nucleotide ribosomal RNA is filed under the name Geotrichum citri-aurantii. RNAcentral describes it as "partial 28S ribosomal RNA". The record is from RNAcentral. Lineage: Eukaryota; Fungi; Ascomycota; Dipodascomycetes; Dipodascales; Dipodascaceae.